RNAcentral lists this ribosomal RNA (670 nucleotides) under Korynetinae gen. sp. 'Orthopleurinae' G0157. RNAcentral describes it as "partial 28S large subunit ribosomal RNA". It matches the Rfam family "Eukaryotic large subunit ribosomal RNA", at positions 656 to 1270 of the family's 3401-position model. Lineage: Eukaryota; Metazoa; Arthropoda; Insecta; Coleoptera; Cleridae. The record is from RNAcentral.
GAAACACGGACUAAGGAGUCUAGCAUGUGCGCGAGUCAUUGGGAAUUACUAAACCUAAAGGCGCAAUGAAAGUGAAGGUCCGCCUUGCGCGGACCAAGGGAAGAUGGGCGCGUCCGGUGAUUACCACGGCCGCCCCGCACUCCCGGGGCGUCUCGUUCUCAUUGCGAGAAGAGGCGCACCAAGAGCGUACACGCUGGGACCCGAAAGAUGGUGAACUAUGCCUGGUCAGGACGAAGUCAGGGGAAACCCUGAUGGAGGUCCGUAGCGAUUCUGACGUGCAAAUCGAUCGUCGGAACUGGGUAUAGGGGCGAAAGACUAAUCGAACCAUCUAGUAGCUGGUUCCCUCCGAAGUUUCCCUCAGGAUAGCUGGCGCUCGUUGCAUACGAGUCUCAUCCGGUAAAGCGAAUGAUUAGAGGCAUUGGGGUCGAAACGGCCUCAACCUAUUCUCAAACUUUAAAUGGGUGAGAUCUCCGGCUUGCUCAAACAUUUUUUAAAUGAAGCCGCGAGAAACGGAUCAGAGUGCCAAGUGGGCCAUUUUUGGUAAGCAGAACUGGCGCUGUGGGAUGAACCAAACGCCGAGUUAAAGCGCCUAAAUCGACGCUUAUGGGAUACCAUGAAAGGCGUUGGUAACUUAAGACAGCAGGACGGUGGCCAUGGAAGUCGGAAUCCG